This 754-nucleotide long non-coding RNA is filed under the name Brassica napus (rape). Its description in RNAcentral is "long non-coding RNA (BNAP_LNC004744)". Lineage: Eukaryota; Viridiplantae; Streptophyta; Magnoliopsida; Brassicales; Brassicaceae. The record is from RNAcentral.
CACCAGCAAUGUCCAGAGAAUGGCAGGAAGCCAAAGUUCCCCCAGAGCCUGCAUGGCCAGCAGAGGGUCCACACGACAGUUCCCGUCUCCACAACUCUUCCAGUGCAAGCCAGCCAUAAGGUCCAUCCCCACAAUCUGAAUCCAGAGCUAAAUCAACGAAAGAAGUAGCUUGCUGUACAAGUAGCGCUAUUCCAUCUAGAAGCUCCUGCAAUGGCUGCCUUUGUCCAUAAGAAAGCAAACUGUUUUCGCUAAAUGAACUAUGGGGCAAGGAUGAGCCUGCUUCAAUGUUUGGCGAGCUAGCAGGUUUUGCUGUUUUUGGGACUGAAACAGUCCGCCACACGCCAACUGGUGCACUCAUGUGGCUGGCUAACAUUCCUCCAUCGAAAUCUCCAGCUAUUCUAGUAGGUACUUCUUUCUUAUAUAUCUCGUUCCUUCCAGAUACGUUGUCUGUCAGACUACUUGGCUCAUUUGGCACCUGGUUCAGGAAGAAGUUUCCACUAAGCCUACUCAGACUAACAGGAGAACUGUGCUUCGAAGAAAUGGCUUUGUGCCGCAUCCUAUACAUGGCCUGCAUGGCCAGCAGAGGGUCCACACGACAGUUCCCGUCUCCACAACUCUUCCAGUGCAAGCCAGCCAUAAGGUCCAUCCCCACAAUCUGAAUCCAGAGCUAAAUCAACGAAAGAAGUAGCUUGCUGUACAAGUAGCGCUAUUCCAUCUAGAAGCUCCUGCAAUGGCUGCCUUUGUCCAUAAGAAA